UACGGGGGGGGCAAGCGUUGUUCGGAAUUACUGGGCGUAAAGGGCUCGUAGGCGGCCAACUAAGUCAGACGUGAAAUCCCUCGGCUUAACCGGGGAACUGCAUCUGAUACUGGAUGGCUUGAGUUCGGGAGAGGGAUGUGGAAUUCCAGGUGUAGCGGUGAAAUGUGUAGAGAUCGGGAGGAACACCGGUGGCGAAGGCGGGUCUCUGGGCAAUUCCUGACGCUGAGGCGCGAAAGCGUGGGGAGCAAACGGG
RNAcentral lists this ribosomal RNA (253 nucleotides) under uncultured bacterium. RNAcentral describes it as "partial 16S ribosomal RNA". It matches the Rfam family "Bacterial small subunit ribosomal RNA", at positions 524 to 776 of the family's 1533-position model. The record is from RNAcentral.